Molecule: unclassified non-coding RNA, 335 nt
Filed under: soil metagenome
Description: partial contains 5.8S ribosomal RNA, internal transcribed spacer 2, and large subunit ribosomal RNA
Rfam family: 5.8S ribosomal RNA (bases 1-120)
Source: RNAcentral
GAUGAAGAACGCAGCGAAAUGCGAUAAGUAAUGUGAAUUGCAGAAUUCAGUGAAUCAUCGAAUCUUUGAACGCACAUUGCGCCCGCCAGUAUUCUGGCGGGCAUGCCUGUUCGAGCGUCAUUUCAACCAUCAAGCCCCCGGCUUGUGUUGGGGACCUGAGGCUGCCGCAGGCCCUGAAAACCAGUGGCGGGCUCGCUAGUCACUCCGAGCGUAGUAAUACAUCUCGCUCAGGGCGUGCUGCGGGUUCCGGCCGUUAAAAGCCUUAUUUUACCCAAGGUUGACCUCGGAUCAGGUAGGAAGACCCGCUGAACUUAAGCAUAUCAAUAAGCGGAGGA